This 107-nucleotide small nuclear RNA is filed under the name Mus spicilegus (steppe mouse). The record is from RNAcentral. Lineage: Eukaryota; Metazoa; Chordata; Mammalia; Rodentia; Muridae.
GUGCUCGCUUUGGCAGCACAUAUACUAAAAUUGGAAUGAUACAGAGAAGAUUAGCAUGGCCCCUGUGCAAGGAUGAUGCGCAAAUUUGUGAAGCGUUCCAUAUUUUU